RNAcentral lists this ribosomal RNA (506 nucleotides) under uncultured bacterium. RNAcentral's name for it is "partial 16S ribosomal RNA". It matches the Rfam family "Bacterial small subunit ribosomal RNA", at positions 30 to 523 of the family's 1533-position model. The record is from RNAcentral.
AUUGAACGCUGGCGGUAUGCUUAACACAUGCAAGUCGAACGGCAGCAUGGUCUAGCUUGCUAGACUGAUGGCGAGUGGCGGACGGGUGAGUAACGCGUAGGAAUCUGCCUUGAAGAGUGGGACAACUUGGGGAAACUCAAGCUAAUACCGCAUGUACUCGAGAGAGUAAAGCUGGGGACCUUUAGGCCUGGCGCUUUAAGAUUAGCCUGCGUCCGAUUAGCUAGUUGGUAGGGUAAAGGCCUACCAAGGCGACGAUCGGUAGCUGGUCUGAGAGGAUGAUCAGCAAAACGGGAACUGAGAGACGGUCCAGAGUCCGACGGGAGGCAGCAGUGGAGAAUAUUGGACAAUGGGAGGAACCCUGAUCCAGCAAUGCCGCGUGUGUGAAGAAGGCCUGAGGGGUGUAAAGCACUUUCAGUGGGGGGGAGGUUUGGAAGGUUAAUAGCUAUUCAAAUGGACGUUACCCACAGAAGAAGCACCGGCUAACUCCGUGCCAGCCGCCGCGGUAA